Molecule: long non-coding RNA, 123 nt
Organism: Gordionus sp. m RMFG-2023
Lineage: Eukaryota; Metazoa; Nematomorpha; Gordioida; Chordodea; Parachordodidae
Exons: 4
Source: RefSeq, a predicted model, not a curated record
ACUUAGAAGCUGAUCCGAUAUUGGGCGAAUCUGUGGAUCACAAAUCAAAUAUGAUAAUUUGUCUGAGAAAAAAACCUUAUUUCUUAACGCCUAUUUCAACCAAUACCAUUUGCAAAGCGGAAA